GAACUCGUAGCUCAGUUGGUUAGAGCGCUACAUUGACAUUGUAGAGGUCAGAGGUUCGAGUCCUCUCGAGUUCACCA
RNAcentral lists this transfer RNA (77 nucleotides) under Candidatus Pacebacteria bacterium CG_4_10_14_0_2_um_filter_40_20. RNAcentral's name for it is "tRNA-Val". It matches the Rfam family "tRNA". Rfam says of the family: Transfer RNA (tRNA) molecules are approximately 80 nucleotides in length. Their secondary structure includes four short double-helical elements and three loops (D, anti-codon, and T loops). Lineage: Bacteria; Bacillati; Minisyncoccota. The record is from RNAcentral. RNAcentral also lists the same sequence under 4 other names.